This is a long non-coding RNA of Bombina bombina (fire-bellied toad), 467 nucleotides long. RefSeq lists it as uncharacterized. NCBI's taxonomy places the organism in Eukaryota, Metazoa, Chordata, Amphibia, Anura, Bombinatoridae. The transcript is spliced from 2 exons. The record is from RefSeq and is a predicted model, not a curated record.
AAACAUAUUUAUAGGAGGCAAAAUAAUGCAUUUCUGCCACAGCUGAGAGGUAAGGAAUCUAACCCAACCUGUCAUUCUCUACCUACUGCUACUGUGCAGAGCACAACAGACUGUUGUCAAUCAAGAGCAGCUGCAUUAGUAAUGCCUUGGAGCACCAACUUAAUCCAAGAUUCCUGGAGAUCCUCUGUCUGGCAAAGCUCCAACAUCAAGGUAUCAAGAAAUGGGGUCUGUCACCAGAAGAGCUCUACCCCCCACCCAUUGAAUUAAACCUAGGGACAGAGAUGAAGUACUCUCAUCCCCAAGAUGACCCCAACUAGGGUCAACAGAAGUUAAUUAAGCAAGAUAAGUGGGGACAACGUUUUUUUAAGGAUGUAAUGACAGUCUGGUGACUUUGGAUGACCUGACCAAAAAUACAUGUUUAUUAUGUUCGUCUUGGACUUAAUAAAAUUGUGCUUUCUGUCAUCUUA